GGCUAGUGUCCUCGCCACAGGCGCCGCUUUUUGUUGUCUGGGGCUGGGAGGCCGCCACCACAUUUGGGGGCGAAGCGGGGGGGCUGCGGCUAUCCUGAGCGCCGGUCAGCGCCUUCCGGCUCCCUGUGGUGCCAGGUCAUUGAGUUUUGACCAUUUGGGACUCCUGAACCUACGGACUGUGACCUCAGAGCAGCACACACACUUGCCCCAUGCACAGUGGGUGCACAUUCCCUCCACAUUCUCUUGACCGGGCAGCAGACUUGGUUAUUUCACGGCUGUUGAUAAGGACCCUAAGGAGAACCCAUAGUCUCUGUGCCGCUUCUCCGAGUCUCAUUCCUUUGAGACUCCUUCACGUGCCUCCAGGAUCCCCCUGCUUAAGACACUUGUCCAGAAAUCCAGCUUGGCUCAAAUCAAGAAGGCGCCAUUUACUCAUUGAGCACUUGUGGCUGAAAAGUCAGCUGCCCUUCUGAGUCAGAAGAUAACCUCGUCAUGCUUCUUCCAACAGCAAACUUUGCUGUGCUUCCCCAGCUGUGAGCAUGAUUCAUCAGGUGGCACCACCGCUGCAUGGCUGAGAGUCAGUCUAUUGUUCCACGCGGCCCAGUACAGGACUGGGGUCAGGCCCCAGAGAGCUGGCCGGCAGGGAUGGCUGAGAAGUCUCUCAGGAGCACAGAUUGCUGUUUACUCCUGGAUGAAGUGUUUUCAAGGCAGGUCAUCAAGAAGGGGCUUGUGGGCUCCAUGAAGGCCUUGCAGAAGCAGUACGUGUCCUGGGACAUGGUGGUGACGAGUAAGGAUGCCGACGCCAACACCGUGUACAGUGCCGUGGAGGCCAUGUUCAUCCAUGGUCUGCACACCAAGCACAUCCUCACCGAGGAGGGAGACAAAAGGAAGAAGCGUGCCCAAUGGAAGCCCUUGCCGCAGCCUGCCUUCUGGCCCCUCCUGAAAGCCGUCACCCAGAACUUCCAAGGGUGUUGUCAGAAUUCAGCAAAGCCCAGGAGGACUCUGUGCCAACCUGCCAACUAAACCAGGAGGCAGCAAGCCCUGUGCCGCCCGGCCUGCACUCAAGCACACGCCCGCACUCCACCACAUUAGUUCAGCCCUGCCUGCCCCGGCCUUCUCCUGCGCUCCUCCAGAUGGUGGCUCCCCAGACUUGCCACCACCGGGAACUGCCCCUGUUGUCUCUGCAGGGAGCACUCCAUGCCAGUAGCCUUCAAGUCUGGUGGGUGAACUGACCAGCACAGCCCGCCAGGGAGCCACCAGCCAGAGCUCCGGGAGGGUGGAGCCGGACUGAGAAUCGUGGUUCCCUCACCUGCAGCCCAGUGAGUAGUGCGAGCUGUGGGUGGGGUGGAAGGGCCCCAUGAAAUGUCUCAGCUAGUGACUCUGAGUGGUCCCUGCCUUUUCCCCAUUAGCCCUGGAUCCCCUCCCAGUGCUGGGAUUCAUUGCCUGGCAAUGAUGGAGCCCGGGCUUCUGGGUGUAAGUCAAGGAGAUGAGGCAGGCACAGUGCUGGACACUUCCUGUGGGUGUGUCUUGUCAACGCAUAUCAACCCUGGGGGGAAGCUAAUGCUCAUCUUAACACAGACUCCGCGCUGAGGCUCAUCUGUGCCAAAAUAGUUUCCAAAGGCAAGACACUUUGCUCACUGAGCCUUUAUUUUCCCUCAGCCCAUAUUAAAUUAACAGUUCAUAAAAUUCUCAUUCUGCGACAUGAAUCAGGUUUAGAACUACACACUCUCCAGGGACUGGAGCGAUAAUACAAUGGGGAGGGGGCUUGUCUUGUGACAUGGCCAACCCACGUUUGACCCCCGACAGCCCAUAUAGUCCCCAAGCACCACCAGGAGUGAUUCCUGAGUGCAGAGUCAGAAGUAAGCGCUGAGCAUUGCCAUGUAGGGUACAAAAGACAAAGGAACCACAUUGUCUAAUAAUCUACCAGUGAACACUUGAAAGACGGCUAGUCCUGGGCUGGGGAGAUAGCUCUGUGGUCAUGGGUUGCAUGCCUUGCGUGCACAGGGACUCAUUUUCACUUCCCGGUUCCUCAUGCUUCAUUCACCACAUGGCAUGAGUCCUAGCACUGGCCCGUCCAGCCCAGUUGACCGAGUAUCGCUGAAGUAGUCCAGUGUGUUGAUCAUCCAAGGGAAGCCAGCCAUAUGCAGCUCCUGGGAGAACCCUGCGUGGGCCCUUGUGAGCUUAGACCAGGGCUAAGUAGUCCCGCUGGGAGGCCACACCCUUGCUGCUUCACAUUUUUUCUCAGGAAACAGGUGAAGAUUCCCAGAGAAAAUUAUGGAUCUUUUAUAGUGACCCUUCUGUUUGAAAGAGAACUUGUGACUUUAUUAGCAGCAAACGAUGCAUAGAAAAUAAACUUUGUGAUUUUACUCAAUACCAAAUAGAUUAAUGUGUACUCUCUUAGGGUGUUUUUUGGCACAUUCCUCUGGUGCUCAGUUUCUACUCCUGGUGUGGUGCUCUGGGUACCAUGGGGUGCUGGGGACUAAACCUGGAGCUGCUGCAAGCAAAGUAAACACUACAGGUCUUUGAGCUAUCUCUCCAGCCCUUACUGAGGUUUUUUUUUUAAUAUAUUAAAUUUUUUAAAUUUAUUUUAUUGAAUCACCAAGUGGAAAGUUACAAAGUUCUCAGGCUUAUAUCUCCGUUAUACAAUGCUCAAACACCCAUCCCUUCACCAGUGCCCAUAUUCCACCACCAAUAAAAACAAAAACAAAACAAAAACAAAAGCAAAAACAAAAAAGAACAGUAUACAUCCCACCCCUCACCCCCCAAACCCCCCGUGCGUGAGUGAUAAUUUCACUUCCUUUUCUCUUUACCUUGAUUACAUUCCAGAUUUCAACACACAACUCACUAUUGUUGUUAGAGUUUCAAAACAGACUCACUAUUUUUUUGGAAUUUAUCCCCCAAGAAUACAGCUCUAUUAACAAGGAAAUAUUUGAUAAUAAGAUUUCCACUGAUGAGAAUGAAGCAAUAAAAUGUCGGUUUACAAUUUCUGUAUUAUAGUAAUUAAGUCCGCGGAGAUUUAAGUUGGAAAAUGAAUCAUUUACCUUCCUGGACCAGCAUGUAGCAAAAGCUUAGUUCACAGUCUCCAUACAUGGGUGCAAGCACUUGCUGGAACCCCAAAUCCUAAAUUGUCUCUGGUUCCCGCUCGUUCCACAUCCACCGGCUGUGCAGAGGCAUGGGCACCCGGGCGAAACCGGGCCGGAGCCCAGCACCGGCCCCAGCGGGGACUCCCUUACUGAGGUUUUUUGUUUGAUUAUUUGUUUUCUUUGUUUUCUUUGGGCCAUACCCAACAGUGCUCGGAAGUUACUCCUGACUCUGUGCUCAGGGGACCAUAAUGGAUGCUGGGGAUCAAACUGAGGUCAGCCGCAUGCAAGGCAAGCCCCCUACCCAUUGUACUGUCUCUGCCCCCUGAUGUUUUUUUUUUUUUGUAACCAAGAAAUCUGAAGCUUCCAAUUAGAGCCUCUCAUUAGCACCACAACCAGGUUGGCAACUUUGAAAUCUAGAAUGUGAGUAAACACAAAUUUUAAUAGCUUCGUGUAAUCUGCACACACUUUGUGACUCAGUAAAUGUGUUACCUCAGGCUGUGUAUCAUAUGUGCCCACAAACCAAAAUGGGUACAAGGCUUAAUAUAUGAAAGAAAAUUAUGUGGCCCCUUGAUAUUCUGAGGGAAAUAAUGCCACCUCUCAAAAUGGGCACGGACAAGUGCCCAGGUCACUAGCCCCCAAGGAAGAAUGUAGCAGUGUGUUAGUCGAAGGGACAGAUGUUCCGUGGUUGUUGAUUUGACUUGAGCAUUGGUGGAAAAGGUCCGGUGUGAGGUCAGCUCCAGGUGGCUGGGCCAGGGAAAGGGAAGGCAGCUGCCCAGUGAUGCUCAGGGGUUACUCCAGCUCUGUGCUCAGAAGGGUACAAGGCAAACGCCCUACUGCUGUGUUCUCACUUCAGCUCCACUUCUUAGAUUUGUAAUUCUUUGACAUGUUUAUUUUGUGUGUGUGCAUAUGUGAUCCGAGGGGUUGAACCUAGGACCUCACACUUAGAAGCCUGUGCUCUGCCACUGAACCAUAACCCUUCCCCCUGGCCCCAACUACUACCACUUUCUUUUUAUUUUUUUAUUAUUAUUAUUAUUAUUUGCUUUUUGGGUCAUACCUGGUGAUGCACAGGAGUUCCUCCUGGCUCUGCACUCAGGAAUUACUCCUGGUGGUGCUCAGGGGACCAUAGGGGAUGCUGGGAAUCGAACCCGGGUCGUCCGCGUGCAAGGCAAACGCCCUACCCGCUGUGCUAUUGCUCCAGCCCCUACCACUUUCACGUAACACACUCAUGCCCUUCAUUUUAAGAACAGCUUUAUUGGGCCCCAAUUCACCAAUUAAAGUGUAGAUUUUAAUUUUUAAAUAGACUCAUAAGAUUGUGUAGCCAUUACCAGAGUUUAAUUUACUUUGGUCCUGUGGCCACACCCACCAUCACUCAGGCUGCUCCAGGAUGUGUAUUUGGCAGCACUUGGGGGCUCAGAGCUGCCAGGAAUACUGCCUGGGCCUCCUGUGUGAAAAGCCAGCUCCGUAGCCUGCUGAGCUGUCUCUUGAACCCCACAGUUUCACUUUAAAACCUUGUCAUCCGGGAAAUAACCAGCCUCUUCGGUUUUUUUCCCUUUGUCAGACAGCAUGGCGAUUACUAAACAGGCGUGAACUCGGUGGCGCGGGGCAAGGGGGAAAAAGAAAAGUUAUGUAACAAACAGCAGGACUUAAUAUCUCUAUAUUCUUAGUAAUGGAGAACUAUCAAAUGCCUUAUUGGCAAUAGGACUGUCUUUUUCUUUUUGGGGGGAAACCCCAGCAACGAUAGUGAGUUGUGUGUUGAAACAUGGAAUGUAAUCGAGAUAAGCGCAAAUGAAGUGAAACUUAUCACGUACAAGGGUGGGGACUAGGGAGGUGGGAGGGGGCGGCAGAUAUACUGGGGGGGUUGGUGAUGGAAGAUGGGCACUGGUGAAGGGAAGGGUGUUUGAAUAUUGUAUAACUGACAUAAUCCUGAGAACUUUGUAACCCUCCACUUGGUGAUUCAAUAAAAAAAAAAAAAAUCAAAAAAAAAAAAUAAAUAAAACCUUGUCAUCCCCCCGCUGAAGGAAACACCUUCAAUUACCAGUCUCUCUCCAGUCCUCUCUCUGCCCUUGGCCUCUGGCCUUCCUUCAGCCACUUUGCUAGUAGUCAGGCCUGUUCUGGAGGGUCCCUUAAUAGUGGAUGAACCACACAACUUGCCCUGCUGUCACCCCAUGACAGGCUCAGCCUUGGAGCAGCAUCAUUCCCUUUUGUUGUUGACUGACAUUCCUUUGUAGGUGGCAUUGUACGGCAGGUUACAUUUUGUUUAUCACUGGCUGAUGGACUUUUCUCUUCCACUUUUGCUAUUAUAUUUGUGUCUGUAUGUUUUUAUUUCUCCUCAGUGCAUAUAAAGUGGAAUAUGGGGGGAAUCCAGUUUAUUUCUUUUGUAUUUAUUUAUUUACUUAACACUCUGUUUUUAUUUCUAUUUUCAUUUUUAUAUUGAAACAGAAAAUGUGGGUUGUUUUCCACUUAAUACUUUCAAAUGACUUCUCACUACCUAUAUAAUGUUCAAACUCCUUAACAAGCUCCUAAAUAAUCUGCUCCAAUAUCCCCCUGUAGUCACAGUCUACUCAUUCC
Sorex araneus (European shrew) is the source of this 5648-nucleotide RNA transcript. It is a transcript of the gene named pleckstrin homology domain-containing family M member 1-like, with no coding region annotated. The record is from RefSeq and is a predicted model, not a curated record. NCBI's taxonomy places the organism in Eukaryota, Metazoa, Chordata, Mammalia, Eulipotyphla, Soricidae. The transcript is spliced from 5 exons.